This 278-nucleotide long non-coding RNA is filed under the name Setaria viridis. RNAcentral's name for it is "long non-coding RNA (SVIR_LNC003036)". The record is from RNAcentral. Lineage: Eukaryota; Viridiplantae; Streptophyta; Magnoliopsida; Poales; Poaceae.
GGAAAUUGGUGCGGAGGGAAGGAAUUUGGCCACCAUGUUCCCAUGCCCCGCGCCAAGUCUCUGGCGCCGUACGGGAUCGAGCUCCGCCGUCGUGUGGGCGUGCAACGCUGCUGGAGCGGGCAAUAAGGCUUUGGAGCACGAGCUCCCGUCGUCCCUUCGCGAGGCGACGGCGCUCUCUUCUCCCUUCAUUAACUGAUGUCCACGUCAUCUUUUUUUGUCAUCUUUUUUUGGCCACCGUGGAACCAAAAGACGACCCACCGACAGGCAUUGUAAGUGCC